AUUGAACGCUGGCGGAAUGCUUUACACAUGCAAGUCGAACGGUGGAGGGGGCAACCCCUCGAGAGUGGCGAACGGGUGAGUAAUAUAUCGGAACGUGCCCAGUCGUGGGGGAUAACGUAGCGAAAGUUACGCUAAUACCGCAUACGAUCUAAGGAUGAAAGCGGGGGAUCGCAAGACCUCGCGCGAUUGGAGCGGCCGAUAUCAGAUUAGGUAGUUGGUGGGGUAAAGGCUCACCAAGCCAACGAUCUGUAGCUGGUCUGAGAGGACGACCAGCCACACUGGAACUGAGACACGGUCCAGACGCCUACGGGAGGCAGCAGUGGGGAAUUUUGGACAAUGGCCGCAAGUCUGAUCCAGCCAUUCCGCGUGCAGGAUGAAGGCCCUCGGGUUGUAAACUGCUUUUGUACGGAACGAAAAGGUCUCUCUUAAUACGGGGGGCUCAUGACGGUACCGUAAGAAUAAGCACCGGCUAACUACGUGCCAGCAGCCGCCGUAA
RNAcentral lists this ribosomal RNA (496 nucleotides) under uncultured bacterium. RNAcentral's name for it is "partial 16S ribosomal RNA". It matches the Rfam family "Bacterial small subunit ribosomal RNA", at positions 30 to 523 of the family's 1533-position model. The record is from RNAcentral.